AUGAAUGCUGGCGGCGUGUCUAAGGCAUGCAAGUCGAGCGGAUCAUAUUUUGUCGCAAGACGAGAUAUGGUUAGCGGCAAACGGGUGCGUAACACAUUGGUAACCUGCCUCGAAGUCGGGCACAACAUCGCGAAAGCGGUGCUAAUUCCACGAUGGUCAUGAGGGGACGUAUGUCUUCCUUAUGUAAAGUCGCAAGACGCUUCGAGAGGGGCCUAUGGCCUAUCAGCUAGUUGGCGGGAUAAAAGCCCACCAAGGCGAUGACGGGUAGGGGAUGUGAGAGCAUGAUCCCCCUCACUGGAACUGAGACACUGUCCAGACACCUACGGGUGGCUGCAGUUGAGAAUAUUCCCCAAUGGGCGAAAGCCUGAGGGAGCGACGCCGCGUGUGGGAAGACGGGCUUCGGCUCGUAAACCACUUUUGCCGAGGAAGAAAUUUGACGGUACUCGGAGAAUAAGAGGUUGCUAACUCUGU
RNAcentral lists this ribosomal RNA (471 nucleotides) under uncultured bacterium. Its description in RNAcentral is "bacterial SSU rRNA". It matches the Rfam family "Bacterial small subunit ribosomal RNA", at positions 29 to 506 of the family's 1533-position model. The record is from RNAcentral.